UCCCCGGUGGUCCAGUGGUAAGGACUCUGCGCUUCCCCUGCAGGGAGCAUGGGUUCGAUCCCUGGUUGAGGAA
This 73-nucleotide transfer RNA is filed under the name Ovis aries (sheep). It matches the Rfam family "tRNA". Rfam says of the family: Transfer RNA (tRNA) molecules are approximately 80 nucleotides in length. Lineage: Eukaryota; Metazoa; Chordata; Mammalia; Artiodactyla; Bovidae. The record is from Rfam by way of RNAcentral.